Molecule: ribosomal RNA, 577 nt
Filed under: uncultured archaeon
Lineage: Archaea
Description: bacterial SSU rRNA
Rfam family: Archaeal small subunit ribosomal RNA
Source: RNAcentral
ACGGGGUGCAGCAGGCGCGAAACCUCCACAAUUCACGCAAGUGAGAUGGGGUUACCUCGAGUGCUAUCUGAAGAAGGUGGCUUUUCCAUGGUGUAAUGAGCCGUGGGAAUAAGGGGGGGGCAAGACUGGUGUCAGCCGCCGCGGUAACACCAGCCCCCCGAGUGGUGGGGAUGAUUAUUUGGCCUAAAGCGUCCGUAGCCAGCUCGGUAAAUCUCUCGUUAAAUCCAGCGUCCUAAGCGUUGGGCUGCGAGGGGAACUGCCGAACUAGAGGGUGGGAGAGGUCAGCGGUAUUCCUGGGGUAGGGGCGAAAUCCAUUGAUCCCAGGAGGACCACCAGUGGCGAAGGCUGCUGACUAGAACACGCCUGACGGUGAGGGACGAAAGCUGGGGUAGCGAAUCGGAUUAGAUACCCGAGUAGUCCCAGCCGUAAACGAUGCAGGCUAGGUGUUGGGUCGGCCAUGCGCCGCCUCAGUGCCACAGGGAAGCCAUUAAGCCUGCCGCCUGGGGAGUACGGCCGCAAGGCUGAAACUUAAAGGAAUUGGCGGGGGAGCACCACCAGGCGUGAAGCCUGCGGUUUA